UACGAAGGGGGCUAGCGUUGCUCGGAAUCACUGGGCGUAAAGCGCACGUAGGCGGGUCUUUAAGUCGGGGGUGAAAUCCUGGAGCUCAACUCCAGAACUGCCUUCGAUACUGAGGAUCUCGAGUCCGGGAGAGGUGAGUGGAACUCCGAGUGUAGAGGUGAAAUUCGUAGAUAUUCGGAAGAACACCAGUGGCGAAGGCGGUUCACUGGCCCGGUACUGACGCUGAGGUGCGAAAGCGUGGGGAGCAAACAGG
This 253-nucleotide ribosomal RNA is filed under the name uncultured bacterium. RNAcentral describes it as "partial 16S ribosomal RNA". It matches the Rfam family "Bacterial small subunit ribosomal RNA", at positions 524 to 776 of the family's 1533-position model. The record is from RNAcentral.